This 93-nucleotide transfer RNA is filed under the name Gammaproteobacteria bacterium. RNAcentral describes it as "tRNA-Ser". It matches the Rfam family "tRNA". From Rfam's summary of the family: Transfer RNA (tRNA) molecules are approximately 80 nucleotides in length. Their secondary structure includes four short double-helical elements and three loops (D, anti-codon, and T loops). Lineage: Bacteria; Pseudomonadati; Pseudomonadota; Gammaproteobacteria. The record is from RNAcentral.
GGAGAGAUGGCCGAGCGGCUGAAGGCGCUCCCCUGCUAAGGGAGUGUGGGGUUUAUAGCUCCACCGAGGGUUCGAAUCCCUCUCUCUCCGCCA